Molecule: ribosomal RNA, 497 nt
Filed under: uncultured bacterium
Lineage: Bacteria
Description: partial 16S ribosomal RNA
Rfam family: Bacterial small subunit ribosomal RNA
Source: RNAcentral
GAUGAACGCUGGCGGCGUGCCUAAUACAUGCAAGUCGAGCGAACAGACGAGGAGCUUGCUCCUCUGACGUUAGCGGCGGACGGGUGGGUAACACGUGGAUAACCUACCUAUAAGACUGGGAUAACUUCGGGAAACCGGAGCUAAUACCGGAUAAUAUAUUGAACCGCAUGGUUCAAUAGUGAAAGACGGUUUUGCUGUCACUUAUAGAUGGAUCCGCGCCGCAUUAGCUAGUUGGUAAGGUAACGGCUUACCAAGGCAACGAUGCGUAGCCGACCUGAGAGGGUGAUCGGCCACACUGGAACUGAGACACGGUCCAGACUCCUACGGGAGGCGGCAGUAGGGAAUCUUCCGCAAUGGGCGAGAGCCUGACGGAGCAACGCCGCGUGAGUGAUGAAGGUCUUCGGAUCGUAAAACUCUGUUAUUAGGGAAGAACAAAUGUGUAAGUAACUAUGCACGUCUUGACGGUACCUAAUCAGAAAGCCACGGCUAACUACGUG